CCUACGGGUGGCAGCAGUGGGGAAUAUUGGGCAAUGGAGGAAACUCUGACCCAGCAACGCCGCGUGAAGGAUGAAGGUUUUCGGAUUGUAAACUUCUGUCGCGAGGGAUGAAGAAUGACGGUACCGCGUAAGAAAGCCCCGGCAAACUACGUGCCAGCAGCCGCGGGAAUACGGAGGGGGCGAGAGAUGGCCGGAAUGACUGGGCGGAAAGGGAGGGUAGGCGGCAUAUUAAGUUAUGUGUGAACGCCCGCGGCUCAACCGCGGAAUUGCAAAUAAAACUGGUAAGCUGUAGUGCAGGAGAGUGAAGUGGAAUUCCCGGUGUAGCGGUGGAAUGCGUAGAUAUCGGGAGGAACACCCGAGGCGCAGGCGACUUACUGGACUGUAACUGACGCUGCGGCUCGAAAGCGUGGGGAGCAAACAGGAUUAGAUACCCUUGUAGUC
This 441-nucleotide ribosomal RNA is filed under the name uncultured bacterium. RNAcentral describes it as "partial 16S ribosomal RNA". It matches the Rfam family "Bacterial small subunit ribosomal RNA", at positions 338 to 795 of the family's 1533-position model. The record is from RNAcentral.